CAGAACUCUGACUCAGGUCAAGUGUGCUAGUCACCACCCUUCCUGCUGAUAACAAGCAUCCUUAGCUUUCUUUCAUUCUUUCUUUCUCUUUCUUUUCUUCCUUUUUUCUUUCUUUCUUUCUCUUUCUUUCUCUCUCAAUAUCUCUCUCUAUCUCUGUCUCUCCUUCUAUUUCCCUCUUCUCUUUCUCUCUCUCUCUCUCUCUCUCUCUCUCUCUCUCUCUCUCUCUCUCUCUCUCUCUCUCUCUUCCCCCCCCUUUUACCUUCAGUCUUAGAAUCAAAACUAAGCAUUGGUUCCAAGGCGGAAAAGAAGUAAGGGCUAGACAGUUAGAAUAAAGUGACUUGCCCAGGGUCACACAGCUAGAAAGUGUCCCCCUACUGACUCCAUCAUUUAGCUUUCUAACUAACAAUCCUAUUAUCCUCCUCUAUGGGACUGAAAAGGAUCCAAAUCAAGGAAGGCAGCUAGAUGGUACAAAGCCUAGGAAGAAGAAGAAGAAGAAGAAGAAGAAGAAGAAGAAGAAGAAGAAGAAGAAGAAGAAGAAGAAGAAGAAGAAGAAGAAGAAGAAGAAGAAGAAGAAGAAGAAGAAGAAGAAGAAGAAGAAUUUACACGAAUGUGAUAAGACCUUUAGUACUAAUGGAUAACUGUAUGUCAUAGUUAUCUGUAUCUGUGUCUUCUCCCAAGAAUGUCUGAAAUGCCUACCCUUUCUCUCUUUGCAUUCUGAAUUUUUAUCCAUUUUUUUUUACAAAUUAAAGCAAUAGGAGGUAGCAGAAAGAAAGAGCCCAGGACUUGGAUUUAUUUGAGACCUGGAUUCAGAUCCUAUCUCCAACCCUUGUGUAUCUAUGAGCAAGUCACCUAAUCUCUCUAGGCUCAGUUUUUCAUCCUUUAAAUGGAGAGAGUAAUACUUUUAUUCUCAGUCUCCCUAGGCUGCGGGGAAAAAUUGAAUGUAAUAAUGUAUAUAAUGCUCUUUGCAAAGCCUAAAAUAUCAUAUAAGUGCUAGCUAUUUUUAUUAUUCACUCUCCUGCAGUUUCUCCGCCUCCUUGUAUCUCUC
RNAcentral lists this long non-coding RNA (1045 nucleotides) under Monodelphis domestica (gray short-tailed opossum). RNAcentral describes it as "lncRNA (ENSMODG00000033035.2)". The record is from RNAcentral. Lineage: Eukaryota; Metazoa; Chordata; Mammalia; Didelphimorphia; Didelphidae.